AGUCAGAGGUGAAGGUGGCACUCUGGGGAGAGGCUGUGCUCACCCCAGUCUGUAUUGGAUCUCCGGUAGAGAUCAGUCACUUAAGAGGCAACAACUCGCAGUCAUAUGGCUUUGCUCUUCAUACAUCACCAUUUACUGUGGUUAAGCCUGGAAGUGGGAUCCAUGCAAUUAAGCCAAGAGGUUACAGAACCAUUGGACAAGACCAAGAGGUCCUGGACUCCAAUGACAUUCCACACAUUGUGUCAUCUGACGUGUGGCUAAAAGUGUUCCCAGACAGCCCAGAAAUCCUCCCUUCAGUGAUCCAGCUGAAUUAUGAAAAGGGCACCGUAAUAGAUAUUCUGAUGCCAGAGGAGUAAUGCUCUUUAUUAUUUUCCCAGCAUUUUUAGUUAAUUAUCUAAUGUAUUUCUUUUUUUAAUCUGUUGUUUAUCAGUAAGUAAUUAGUUAAAGAUGAAAAUUUAAUAAGUUGAAAAAAAAUCAGUUAAUUAGUUAAUUGUUUUGUGGUGGUUUGUUAUUCCUGAAUGUUUUAAUAAAUGCUUUGCAAACUUUAA
Molecule: non-coding RNA, 548 nt
Organism: Neolamprologus brichardi
Lineage: Eukaryota; Metazoa; Chordata; Actinopteri; Cichliformes; Cichlidae
Source: RefSeq, a predicted model, not a curated record